Molecule: ribosomal RNA, 254 nt
Filed under: uncultured bacterium
Lineage: Bacteria
Description: partial 16S ribosomal RNA
Rfam family: Bacterial small subunit ribosomal RNA
Source: RNAcentral
UACGUAGGGUGCGAGCGUUGUCCGGAAUUACUGGGCGUAAAGAGUUCGUAGGCGGUUUGUCGCGUCGUUCGUGAAAACUUGGGGCUUAACUCCAAGCGUGCGGGCGAUACGGGCAGACUUGGAGUACUACAGGGGAGACUGGAAUUCCUGGUGUAGCGGUGAAAUGCGCAGAUAUCAGGAGGAACACCGGUGGCGAAGGCGGGUCUCUGGGUAGUAACUGACGCUGAGGAACGAAAGCGUGGGUAGCGAACAGG